Molecule: ribosomal RNA, 427 nt
Filed under: uncultured bacterium
Lineage: Bacteria
Description: bacterial SSU rRNA
Rfam family: Bacterial small subunit ribosomal RNA
Source: RNAcentral
AACGAACGCUGGCGGCAUGCCUAACACAUGCAAGUCGAACGAGACCUUCGGGUCUAGUGGCGCACGGGUGCGUAACGCGUGGGAAUCUGCCCUUGGGUUCGGAAUAACAGUUAGAAAUGACUGCUAAUACCGGAUAAUGUCUUCGGACCAAAGAUUUAUCGCCCAGGGAUGAGCCCGCGUAGGAUUAGCUAGUUGGUGAGGUAAAGGCUCACCAAGGCGACGAUCCUUAGCUGGUCUGAGAGGAUGAUCAGCCACACUGGGACUGAGACACGGCCCAGACUCCUACGGGAGGCAGCAGUGGGGAAUAUUGGACAAUGGGCGAAAGCCUGAUCCAGCAAUGCCGCGUGAGUGAUGAAGGCCUUAGGGUUGUAAAGCUCUUUACCCGGGAUGAUAAUGACAGUACCGGGAGAAUAAGCCCCGGCUAACU